RNAcentral lists this ribosomal RNA (602 nucleotides) under uncultured archaeon. Its description in RNAcentral is "bacterial SSU rRNA". It matches the Rfam family "Archaeal small subunit ribosomal RNA", at positions 77 to 680 of the family's 1478-position model. The record is from RNAcentral.
CUCGGCUGACUGCUCAGUAACACGUGGGAUAAUCUGCCCUUGGGUGGAGAAUAAUCUCGGGAAACUGAGAAUAAUACUCCAUAGAUCUAGGAAGCUGGAAUGCAUCUAGGUUGAAAGCUUCGGCGCCUAAGGAUGAGUCUGCGGGCUAUUAGAUUGUAGUCAGGGUAAUGACCUGACUAGUCUACGAUGGCUACGGGUUGUGAGAGCAAUCGCCCGGAGAUGAUAUCUGAGACACGAUAUCAGGUCCUACGGGAUGCAGCAGGCGCGAAAACUUCACACUGUGCGAAAGCACGAUGAGGGAAUCCCAAGUGCCAGCUCGUAAGAGUUGGCUGUUUUUCUGUCUAAAAAACAGAGAGAGUAAGAGCUGGGUAAGACGGGUGCCAGCCGCCGCGGUAAUACCUGCAGCUCGAGAGGUGAUCGUUAUUAUUGGGCCUAAAACGUUCGUAGCCGGUUUCGUAAAUGCUUGGGUAAAUCGUUUGGCUUAACCAAACGAAUUCCGGGUAGACUACGAGACUUGAGAUCGGGAGAGGCUAGAGGUACUCCUGGGGUAGAGGUGAAAUUCUGUAAUCCUAGGGGGACCACCAGUGGCGAAGGCGUCUAGC